GUGGGGAAUAUUGGGCAAUGGGGGAAACCCUGACCCAGCAACGCCGCGUGAAGGAAGAAGGUUUUCGGAUCGUAAACUUCUAUCCUUGGUGAAGAUAAUGACGGUAGCCAAGAAGGAAGCCCCGGCUAACUACGUGCCAGCAGCCGCGGUAAUACGUAGGGGGCAAGCGUUGUCCGGAAUGAUUGGGCGUAAAGGGCGCGUAGGCGGCCCGGUAAGUCUGAAGUGAAAGUCCUGCUUUUAAGGUGGGAAUUGCUUUGGAUACUGUCGGGCUUGAGUGCAGGAGAGGUAAGCGGAAUUCCCGGUGUAGCGGUGAAAUGCGUAGAGAUCGGGAGGAACACCAGUGGCGAAGGCGGCUUACUGGACUGUAACUGACGCUGAGGCGCGAAAGUGUGGGGAGCAAACAGGAUUAGAAACCCGGGUAGUCC
RNAcentral lists this ribosomal RNA (425 nucleotides) under uncultured bacterium. RNAcentral's name for it is "partial 16S ribosomal RNA". It matches the Rfam family "Bacterial small subunit ribosomal RNA", at positions 354 to 796 of the family's 1533-position model. The record is from RNAcentral.